UCAGCUUCUUCUGCUACUGUCACCAGCAGAUGGAGAGAGGGGUCAGUAUUUAUCCUCUUGUAACACCUGAGGGGACAGAGUUGCUGACAUGUCUCAUAGAGUCCUUGUCCCCCACCUCCCUCACCCAUUGCCCACACUCCCUCAUCCUCUCACUUCAAGAGGCCUUGUUACCCCCCUAAAGGCCUGGAUUAGGCUCCACUGGUUAAAAAUCUUGUUCUAACUCCAAGUCCCCUAGAAUGUCCAUACCUUUAAGGGCUGGCACUGGUGCAGCAGGACUGAGGUAGAGACCCCAGAGAUUCACUUACAUAGCUGUUUCCAGUAGCCAAAUGACCAGGGACCACUAUUUAUGAGACAAUAGGAUAUCCCUUUCCUGAGAACAUGUUGGCCAAGCAGCAGAAGUGGGUGUGUUGUCCCUGAGGCUGAAUUUGGUGGUCUUGAGACCUAGCAUAGUGAGGCCAAACACUGACUUGGAUGGGUGCUGAGCCUGUGAAGGAAAAAACUCUACCAGAGAAACCUGACUGGGUUCGCUUUGUUUGUACAGAUCUAGUGGAGUUCCCCUUAAGCCUGAGAGGCCACUGGAGCCUGAGAGGCCACUGGAGACCAAGUCUGGUUAUACGCUGUAGAAGCUGGGUAAAUACCAUUUGGAGCACAGGUCUGCAGCAGAUCCAGAGUAAAUAAAACCUGAUACCUGCAUUGGACAUCUAAAAAAUGUUGAAUCUGGCAAGCUAUAAAUGAUAACAUGAAACAGUUAUUGAGUGUGUGCGAUGUCUGGAUACUAUUCUAACCAAUGUGAAUGCAUCAUCGCAUUUAAACCUCGCAGCAAAUUUAAGAAGAAAAAAAUCUUCCAUGUCCUUGAGCCAGUUACCAGAGAAGAGCAGAAAUCCAGGGAGGACAAGGGAUUGACCUGGGUAGUAUUGAGCUGGAAGGUAAAAGCAAUGAACAAAAAGAGGUUCAGAUUCCUUAUUUUGGAGCGACAGUGUCAACAAGAAACAUCUGCCAAACCACAAGGACCAUGUAGAAGCUGGUGUCCCAGGAGGAGAUCUUCAGCAUUUCACCCAUCUCCCCCAAUUAUUUCUCCUGGAAAGACUGAGGCAUUUAGCUUCUUGGACUUCUCUCCAUAUAAAUGGCCACUCAUGGGCCAACUAACUGUGUGGUGUUCAAGACAAACAAUAUACAUCAUGUAAUAAAGAAUCAUUCUCCCCUGAGGGAAUCUGAGACUAAUUGAAAGGUUACUGUGUAAUAGGCUCCAUUUUCUUAAUCAUAUCUUGUGUUUGUGCAAAUGUUAAAAAAAAAGCCUCCCACCAAUGUAUUUUUAUCCAAAUGCUGCUCAAUUCUAUUAUAAUAAUUUUAUUGUCCUAACAUCCCUGUGAAAUCAGUAAACCAGUGAUGGAACAAACAGCUCUGCGUUGGUUUGAAUCAGGCACUAUGUUCAGGUUCCCAAAUUAGAAGGAGCAGUGGUCAGAUUGUCUGAAGAGAUGGACACUGGCCGUGGCACUAACUGGUUAUCUAACCAUUGUCUAAUAAUGGUCCUCAUUUCCUCUUUUGUAAAUCAAGAGAUUGGAGAGACAAUUUGCAGAAGUUUUUUUCCACUUCUAAGAUUCAAUGAGUCAAAGUUUGGAGACUUAUUUCAGAGGCAACCAGCUAUGUACAAAAUAUAGCAUUACAAAAUAGAAAAUAUGUUGGCUUUGUAGCAAAAAUACUUGGGCCUGAAUCUUGGAUUUACCACUAACUAGUAGUGUUACUUUGGCCGAGUCACCCUCUCUAAUCCUCACCUUUCCUCUAUAAAAUGGAAAUAAAAAGCCCUUAUAUGCUUAUUGCGAUGAUUAAAUAAGAAAACAUACAUAAAGCAAAUGGCAUGUGACGGAUUCUCAAUAAAUGGUAGCCACACUUAACUGCUUCAUAGGCCAACUGGAGCAUUGUCUCCAGAACAUAUUUGUACAUUUCUUACCUAUAAAUAUUCUUUCUAUAUCUAAAAAUAAACAUGGAUCUUCUCCACUUUUUCAAUUAAAGAAUGGAUUAUCAAGAGUGUAAUUACUAUAUUAACAACUCGAUUUUACAUAUGAGGAAAAUGAAGUUUAUAUGACUAGUCCGAAGUCACACAGAGAGUUAAUGACAGAGCUGUCUAGGAUCCAGGUCAUCAAAUCCCAGGAUGGUAUAUUUUACACACCCAACUGAUACUCUUUCCAAUAGGCCAUGUUGCUAUUAACAGUUUGUGGUGUCAGACAAAAAUAAUAAUGAUUUUUAUACACUAUAUUAGCUAAGUCUAUUAAGAACAGAAAAACAGAAUACUGGAAAUCUGAGUAACUCAAGCUAAAACACUUUUUCUAAAUUUCAAGACAAAAUAACUAAACAAACAGAAACAUUUGAGUAAUCGAGGGAGCAGCAAGACAGAUGAAUGUCACUAUUUGUCUCCCCAUAUCUACCUUUGUCUCCCUUCAAGUUAGUCUGAUCAUCUGAAUGAAGGGUACCACUGUUUAGCCAGAAACCUACAAGAAAUCCUUAAUAGCUUUAUAUCUCCUUCUAUUUCACCUCCUCCCUUACCUAAAUGUAACCAAGUCCUUCUAAUUCUAUCUUCUAAAUUCCUCUUAAUUCUGGUCAAUUCUUUGUACCUCGCUUUAACAGGUCAUAAUCUUUUCUCACCUGGACUACUACAACAACCUGUUACUUCGUCUCCAUUUUUUGGCUGUUCUUACUACCUAAAAAUCAAUUAUGUAUAGCUAGUUGAUCUUUUUAGAUGUAAACAAGAAUAUGUACCAAAACUUGAAAUUUUAUGUAGUAAAAUUUUAUUUGUGUAACUUGUCUUGUACACCACUUUUCUUCGAGUUGCUAAUUAUCUCAUUUUUAUUUGACUAACUUGCUAUAUGUAUAUAUCUAUUUU
Molecule: long non-coding RNA, 2878 nt
Filed under: Homo sapiens (human)
Lineage: Eukaryota; Metazoa; Chordata; Mammalia; Primates; Hominidae
Description: HSALNT0408731
Source: RNAcentral